AGUGAACGCUGGCGGUAGGCCUAACACAUGCAAGUCGAACGGCAGCACAGUAAGAGCUUGCUCUUACGGGUGGCGAGUGGCGGACGGGUGAGGAAUACAUCGGAAUCUACUUUUUCGUGGGGGAUAACGUAGGGAAACUUACGCUAAUACCGCAUACGACCUACGGGUGAAAGCAGGGGAUCUUCGGACCUUGCGCGAUUGAAUGAGCCGAUGUCGGAUUAGCUAGUUGGCGGGGUAAAGGCCCACCAAGGCGACGAUCCGUAGCUGGUCUGAGAGGAUGAGCAGCCACACGGGAACUGAGACACGGUCCAGACGCGUACGGGAGACAGCAGUGGGGAAUAUUGGACAAUGGGCGCAAGCCUGAUCCAGCCAUACCGCUUGGGUGAAGAAGGCCUUCGGGUUGUAAAGCCCUUUUGUUGGGAAAGAAAAGCAGCAGGUUAAUACCCCGCUGUUCUGACGGUACCCAAAGAAUAAGCACCGGCUAACUUCGUG
This 492-nucleotide ribosomal RNA is filed under the name uncultured bacterium. Its description in RNAcentral is "partial 16S ribosomal RNA". It matches the Rfam family "Bacterial small subunit ribosomal RNA", at positions 29 to 507 of the family's 1533-position model. The record is from RNAcentral.